CCCCCAUCACCCCCAUCAUCCCCAUCACCCCGACCCCCAUCACCCCCCCAGCUGGCGUGUCGUCUCCAUCUCCAACAGAACAACACGUGCCUCGUUAAAGAAAUAACAAUAUUAAUAAUAAAACUGGAAAUGGUUCUUAGCGUUUCUUAAAACGUUUCUUAACACUGUAAACAUUUCUUAACACUGUAAACGUUUCUUAACACUGUAAAACGUUUCUUAACACUGUAAAACGUUUCUUACUGUAAAAGUGUCUUACUGUAAACAUUUCUUACUGUAAAAGUGUCUUACUGUAAACGUUUCUUACUGUAAAAGUGUCUUACUGUAAACAUUUCUUACUGUAAACGUUUCUUAACACUGUAAACAUUUCUUACUGUAAACGUUUCUUAACACUGUAAAACUGUCUUACUGUAAACAUUUCUUACUGUAAACGUUUCUUACUGUAAACGUUUCUUGCCUUAUUGCCAAACUGUGCUCCUCCGCUGUCCCCGUUUAGACCUGGGACGGUUUUUCUAUGCUCAUGUUUAUAUUUAUAGUGGUUAACUAGAAAAAAUAAAGCAUUUUCAAAAAUAUAACAUGGUGUGUCUUCUAUACAGUUAAUCUGGUCCACUGGUCCUAGUCUCGAUAAUAUGGUGUCUUCUAUACAGUUAAUCUGGUCCACUGGUCCUAGUCUCGAUAAUAUGGUGUCUUCUAUACAGUUAAUCUGGUCCACUGGUCCUAGUCUCGAUAAUAUGGUGUCUUCUAUACAGUUAAUCUGGUCCACUGGUCCUAGUCUUGAUAAUAUGGUGUCUUCUUUACAGUUAAUCUGGUCCAGGUGCCUGCCUGUCUGCCUGCCUGCCUGCCUGCCUGCCUGUCUGUCUGUCUGUCUGUCUGUCUGUCUGUCUGUCUGUCUGUCUGUCUGUCUGUCUUUUUGCCUGCCUGCCUGCCUGCCUGCCUGCCUGCCUGUCUGCCUGCUUGCCUGUCUGCCUGCCUGCCUGCCUGUCUCCCAGAUUAAAAGCUUCUAUGCAGUAGUUAUUGGAUGUGACUCAGCAUGUUAGCCAUCUCACUAAUAAAGCAAUCCAAAAUGCACUGCAUUCACGGUUUCACUUUUCAAGGUAUUCUACGGAAUCGUCCUAAUAAAGCCCGCUGUACUAUAGACCUAUAGUCUAAUGUAGGCUAUAUAUGUAUGUAUUGAAGUUUGUUUUGGAGAGAUGUCCUGUUUUUCGGAUUAUAAUCUCUGUAAGGUACAACAUUUGCAGUGAGUUUUUGUAAGAAAAAAUAGAUCUCUGAUCUAGGAAGAGGUCAGAUUCAUCUUUGUUGUCCCCAAGCCCAAUUUAUCACCCAUAUAUUUCUUCAGGGACUAUGAAUGUUAAGUUUAAACUACUUUAUUCACAGUAUUAAUGCUGGUUCAUGCCGGUGCAAUCCACCCAGGGGAUAUCUAUAAAAGUUUCACAUUUACAAAAGUCUCUCUCUCUCAAAGGAAAAGUUCAUCUUAUUUAAAAAAUGUUUUUAUUUUAAGCAAUAAUAAAUAUAUGAAUACAGAUGAUAUUUGUGAGUAAAUUUUCAUCUUAAAGAAAAUGCUCCGGUACUUUUGUCGACUAUUAAGUGUUUUUUUUGUUGUUGAGGAGAACGACGUGUCGAUCAGACAUUAUUACAAAGAGACAUUCGGGAAGUUUUAAUGAG
RNAcentral lists this long non-coding RNA (1659 nucleotides) under Salmo salar (Atlantic salmon). Its description in RNAcentral is "lncRNA (ENSSSAG00000113618.1)". Lineage: Eukaryota; Metazoa; Chordata; Actinopteri; Salmoniformes; Salmonidae. The record is from RNAcentral.